AGAAUCAACGCUGGCGGCGUGCCUAACACAUGCAAGUCGCACGAGAAAGUGGAGCAAUCCAUGAGUAAAGUGGCGCACGGGUGAGUAACACGUGAAUUAUCUACCUCCGAGUGGGGAAUAACUGAGAGAAAUCUUAGCUAAUACCGCAUAACACUUACGAGUCAAAGCAGCAAUGCGCUUGGAGAGGAGUUCGCGGCCGAUUAGUUAGUUGGCGGGGUAAUGGCCCACCAAGACGAUGAUCGGUAUCCGGCCUGAGAGGGCGCACGGACACACUGGGAACUGAAACACGGUCCAGACUCCUACGGGAGGCAGCAGUGGGGAAUUUUGCGCAAUGGGGGAAACCCUGACGCAGCAACGCCGCGUGGAGGAUGAAAUCCCUUGGGAUGUAAACUCCUUUCGAUAGGGAAGAUAAUGACGGUACCUAUAGAAGAAGCCCGGCUAACUUCGCGCAGCAGCCGC
Molecule: ribosomal RNA, 459 nt
Filed under: uncultured bacterium
Lineage: Bacteria
Description: SSU rRNA
Rfam family: Bacterial small subunit ribosomal RNA
Source: RNAcentral